Molecule: ribosomal RNA, 416 nt
Filed under: uncultured bacterium
Lineage: Bacteria
Description: bacterial SSU rRNA
Rfam family: Bacterial small subunit ribosomal RNA
Source: RNAcentral
GGAAUAUUGGUCAAUGGGCGCGAGCCUGAACCAGCCAAGUCGCGUGAGGGAUGACGGCCCUCCGGGUUGUAAACCUCUUUUGUCGGGGAGCACAGUGCCGCACGUGUGCGGUUUGGAGAGUACCCGGAGCACAAGCAUCGGCUAACUCCCUGCCAGCAGCCGCGGUAAUACGGAGGAUGCGAGCGUUAUCCGGAUUUAUUGGGUUUAAAGGGUGCGUAGGCGGACGCUUAAGUCAGCGGUAAAAUUGCGGGGCUCAACCUCGUCGAGCCGUUGAAACUGGGUGUCUUGAGUGGGCGAGAAGUACGCGGAAUGCGUGGUGUAGCGGUGAAAUGCAUAGAUAUCACGCAGAACUCCGAUUGCGAAGGCAGCGUACCGGCGCCCAACUGACGCUGAAGCACGAAGGCGUGGGGAUCGAA